CUUGACCAGUGGUGUCAAAAUACCUGCAGUGAUUAGCAUGACAACAAUAGCCUGCCAGUGCGAUGUGACCAGAGCAGCUCGAACAUAACAUUCUUUAUCCAACAGAAGCAAUUACUAAGACCUCUCUGACUGCUGCCCAUUUGUAAUGUGUGAAGUGGAUUUUUCAGCAGUGCUGGUGAAGGAUUUCUUUUAGGGUCUGAUGCUUUUCUCCAGAAGUGGAGGGAAUGAGUAAUAAGAAUGUCUGAAACUGUGGCAGGCUGUCUGCAGCACAGUGUGUGCAAGCAUCAAUCACACACUAGGGCUUCUACACAAGCAAAUACACACAUACACAAAGAAAUCCCAUACGCUUAGUUAGGCAUCUGUCACCCCACAUUCAAAUAAUGACAAGAAAACAUGUAAUUGUGCCACCAAAACCCACAGCCCACUUCCCUACUUUAAUGUAAAUAUUAAUCUCAUUAGGUUAACAUUCCAAAAUGUUAAUCAUCUGUUAGUUGUCUAUACUUUUCAUUGCUGCAGGUUAGCAGUCAGUAUUUUUACUCAUUAAAGUACCUAAUAAAAAAUUUAAAGAUGUAUGGAAGAAAUGAAAUUACUUGGAUUACCUGACAAUAGAUAAGAUUAUAAACUAGCUCUUUAUAACAUCUUACUGACUUACAGAGGAAGACGAUAAUCAACACAUGACCUUGCUUACAUAUCUAGAUAUUUACUUAACCUAAUUACCUUGCUAAUGAAACCCUUUUCAGUUAGCCACACAACAACAUACAUAAACACUGGUAAAUAAGCUUAAUAUUGGUUAGGUAGGUCAGUGAAGCAACUUUUCUUAAUUAAUAAAAUACAAAGAGGGGCAGCAGUGGAGAGGAAGAGGAAUAGCUGAGACACAGGUAGAACCACAGAGUAACAGCUUGGCUCUUGACCCCCCAAAUGCUCCAAGGGCAUACAAGCAGCGAACCCUGUGCCUUGACCCUGAACUUCCUUUCUUGUCUGGGAAGGGAUGUAGCCAUAUGCAAACACAAUUGCUAUUUACAAUGGCCAAGGAAAGUCAAUUCCUUCUUUCCUUUUAAUAGAAUAUCUGAUAAGACACCAUUUUAGAAACUGUUUUUUUUUUUUUUUUUUUUUUUUUACAUUGUUUCACAAACAAAAACAUAGGAGCACCUUCAAACUGCUCAGAAAGCAAAUAUUUUAGUUCAACCACAGUGAUAUUGAAUUCUUGAUUCUGAUUGGCGGUCAGAAGGUGAUGAUUCAUUUUCUCUAACUGCGCUGACUGUAGCUCCUGCUGUAAUUAAUAUGAUAGGUUUAAAUUCUAUUCUAUUCUAAUACUACUCAAAUACUAAGAUCCACUAAUACUAGAUUUUAAUCAUUUCUAUCAUAACAGCUCGUUCACAAUUACUUUUAUAGCAGACAAUCUACAUAUUCAAAUGGUAAUACUAAAAGGAUUUAAAAAAACAUUCAUUACUUAACAUAGAAAAACGUAUAAUAAUCAACAUUUGGCAGACACCCUUAUCCAGAGCAACUUCCAUUUAUACAAUUGAGCAGUUGAGGGUUAAGGGCCUUACUCUAAGGCCCAGCAGUAGAAGUUGGUAGUGCUGGGAUUUGAACACAAAACCUUCCGAUCAGUAGGCUAAUGUCUUUGCCACUGCCCUGCUGUAGCUUUCUAUAAGGAAAGCUUGUAACAGUCAGUAAUAUUCAUUACAGAGGAUUUAGUGCUUGCGGUUUCUCUGUACCAUGACAAGCUGCAUAAGAGGCAGUUGAGGGAACCACUGUUUAUCGCUACUAUAGCAUAAAUGAUAACAUGAACUAACGUCUUGCAGAGGUUCCACAAUAUUAAAUGUAACUGGUUAAAGGUUAAAAAGCAUGACAUGUCAUUCAGUAUUAAAUUUUUUUAAAAAAAGACACUUGUUGGCAAAUACUGUGGUAUAAGAUAAUAAAACACUUCAGGAUGUGCUGUUAAAGGGAAAUAAUCUACAACUUCUGGCUGGUAACAGUAACUCUUUGCAUUGAGCUGUAUCACACAACCCCAUCUUGGAUUAUUUGACAAUAACAGCACACACCAUCAUAUCCUUUAUACAUUUGAAUGUAUGAGAUUUUUGGUACUGCAAGGUAUGACACUGUGAAAUCAUCAACAAAUAUUUGUCAUUGGCUUUAUUGUAUGUGGAAGUGGUUUACUCACAUUUCAUUAAAAAUUAGAAAUAUUAUAAUAAUUAUUAUCAUAAUUAUAUUAUAAGACUUAUAAUUAUAUAAUUCCAUUAAACAAUACAAUUGCAAUGGAUCUGCAUAAUGUUUCAAAGAAAGGGUAAGUGAAUUCAAAUACUUAAUUUGAUAAUUAUCAGAUUUCUGAAGAUUCUGUAGGACUGUUUUGAAUGACAGACAAACUGAUACGAACUUAUCUGAUUUGAUCUGAAACUGACUUAUGACAUUGAAAUGACAAAUCAGCUUCAGCUGUGUGAAUUUAAGCUCCCAUCCACUAGCCCCAUAUUUAGAUGUGAAAUGCUUACGAGAUGUCCCAAUUUACAUCAUAUACAACCAAUUUUUAUUAACCAUGCCCUAAUUUAGGCAUUUAAAGUGCAUUUAAGUGUUGCAGCAGUGGGUCAAUUAAAGAAAAUAUUCAGCAGACUACAGUCCAAAUGUAAAUAAGGAGAGGAGAAAAAAAAUCUCAGGUGUGUGUAGCCAAGGUGGAUGCAAAUAAACAUGCCGAUAGCUUCAAAAAUGCUAUAAAAGGUGAAAACUUGAAAUAAAAUAAAAUUAACUAUUAACACAUAUUCAGUGAUGGUCCAAUAGGUUUUGCUUUUGCAAUACUUACUUCAAAAUGAGGUAUUAAACUGAACCAUUUUCCAGCCUUCUGAUCAAGAAUAUUUAUAACUUGGUUUUAAUUCAUUUUAGAACUUGGGUAGAUCAGAUAGACGUGUCAAGAUUUAAUUAAAUAUAUUAAAUAUAGACAUGCCGAGUUUCCACACUGAACCAGCCAUAAAAAUAUCUGUGCACAUCCCUAGUCAAAAGCCCUCUUCAAUAGUACGUUAAUUACAAUAAGUCAAAAAUUACAAAAAAUUUAAAUGGCAUCUCCGAUCUUGGGUGAAUCAUUGUGCUUAGUCACAUUUAAGAAUAAUUAUAAUGUGUGCUAGAACUGCCAGAGCUGAUCUGAUGUUAUACAAUUGCUCUGGAUUCACACAAGGAAAACAAUAAAAGAUGAUUUAUGUCUAGCUUGGAUUGCCAAUAUCAACUUUGGUUAGCCUCUUUUUGAACAGGAAGUGACCAAGCCAGAGCAGCCAUUUAGCUGAAGCAUCACUUUCACUGCACGAUUGACAUCUGGGAAUGUUCCACUGUAUCCUAGCACCAGUCAGGACUUGCUGUACACCUGGUUUCUGGCACUAAUCUACUGAUGACAGAUGAUUGCAGUAAAACAGCCCCACGUACGCUCUCCCUGGUGCCUGGGAGAGAGAGUUGCUGCAGUCUCCUCUGCUAGGACAGCUCUUUUUCCUCUUUGGAUCAUAUGCCAAGCAUUGCCUGAUGAACCUUAAUCUGGAGCAGUGCCCAUGUGUUCAGACAAGUGGCAGGAUGAAGGAAGUAGGAAUGAUUACAGCAAGCAAAAGCUAGCAAAAAGUCCAAACAACCAAGCCUUAACUUCAGAGGAGCUGAUACCUGUGUCCUUGGUGGUCAGAGAACAUCUGCAUGCACAUGUCCUCACAUAAGCCAGGGGUCUGUGGUGCACAAAGAUACCUGAUCCAGAAAACAGGAGGAGCCCAGUCUUUGUUACAAAUGGGCCCCCUGAACAUGUCACUUGGCUCCAGCUGUGCACAGAGAGACAGUGCUUGCCAUUAAUGCAGAACAAAAAUAACAGAACAUGUAACAAAUUAACCUGGCAGUCACAUAAUACUGGAAUGAUUCCAUGAAUGUACAAAAAUAAAGAAUAUGUGGUAUUUUGGCAAUAUAAUAUUUGUUUUUAUAUCACAGUGCUGUAGAAUCUGAUUGGUUAGAAGAUGGCAAUAAUUUUUCUAUAACAGCAGCUCUGAUAAUAGUGUCAGCUUCAAGGCAAAUCAUAGGUGAAUAUUAAUGCACUCAUUCUAACAUGUUUCAUGGCUACAUAAUUCUUGAUUAACCCUCCUGUUACCCUCAAAUAAUAUUUUUUCCCCAUUGACACCAGCAAUUUAAACCUCAGAAUAUGAUUUUUUUUUUUUCACAAAGGUUUAUGUCUCGGGUAAUGUAUGUGUCUUUGUUGAUUAUUUAAAUAGCCCUUUAU
Molecule: long non-coding RNA, 4228 nt
Organism: Ictalurus punctatus (channel catfish)
Lineage: Eukaryota; Metazoa; Chordata; Actinopteri; Siluriformes; Ictaluridae
Source: Ensembl